CUGGUGUCAGCCGCCGCGGUAAUACCAGCACCUCGAGUGGUCAGGACGUUUAUUGGGCCUAAAGCAUCCGUAGCCGGCUCUGCAAGUCUUCGGUUAAAUCCACCUGCUCAACAGAUGGGCCGCUGGAGAUACUACAGAGCUAGGGAGUGGGAGAGGCAGACGGUAUUCAGUGGGUAGGGGUAAAAUCCUCUGAUCCAUUGAGGACCACCAGUGGCGAAGGCGGUCUGCCAGAACACGUUCGACGGUGAGGGAUGAAAGCUGGGGGAGCAAACCGGAUUAGAUACCCGGGUAGUCCCAGCUGUAAACGAUGCAAACUCGGUGAUGCAUUGGCUUAUGGCCAAUGCAGUGCCGCAGGGAAGCCGUUAAGUUUGCCGCCUGGGAAGUACGGACGCAAGUCUGAAACUUAAAGGAAUUGGCGGGGGAGCACCACAAGGGGUGAAGCCUGCGGUUCAAUUGGAGUCAACGCCAGGAAUCUUACCCGGGGAGACAGCAGAAUGAAGGUCAAGCUGAAGACUUUACCAGACAAGCU
This 529-nucleotide ribosomal RNA is filed under the name uncultured Nitrososphaerota archaeon. Its description in RNAcentral is "bacterial SSU rRNA". It matches the Rfam family "Archaeal small subunit ribosomal RNA", at positions 452 to 981 of the family's 1478-position model. Lineage: Archaea; Thermoproteati; Nitrososphaerota. The record is from RNAcentral.